UUUAAGAACACUAGCUUUAUGUGUGCGGAUGUAACAUCUCCAGAUUUGAAAUUUGAGGCAGAAUCUGUGGAUAUGAUAUUCUCAAAUUGGUUACUAAUGUAUCUUUCAGACAGCGAGGUGGAAAAGUUGGCAGCAAAAUUGGUGAAUUGGGUAAAAGAAGGGGGAUAUAUUUUCUUCAGGGAAUCUUGUUUCCAUCAAUCUGGUGAUUCCAAGAGGAAAGUCAACCCAACACACUAUCGUGAACCAAGGUUUUAUACCAAGGUCUUUAAAGAAAGUCAUUCGUAUGAUGCCCAUGGGAAUUCAUUCGAGCUCUCUCUUAUUUCUUGCAAAUGUAUUGGAGCUUAUGUGAGGAACAAAAAGAAUCAGAAUCAGAUUUGUUGGUUAUGGCAAAA
RNAcentral lists this unclassified non-coding RNA (392 nucleotides) under Hevea brasiliensis (rubber tree). Lineage: Eukaryota; Viridiplantae; Streptophyta; Magnoliopsida; Malpighiales; Euphorbiaceae. The record is from RNAcentral.